This 328-nucleotide ribosomal RNA is filed under the name uncultured eukaryote. RNAcentral's name for it is "partial 18S ribosomal RNA". It matches the Rfam family "Eukaryotic small subunit ribosomal RNA", at positions 1470 to 1796 of the family's 1831-position model. The record is from RNAcentral.
CCCUUAGAUGUCCUGGGCCCCACGCGCGUUACACUGAUGCAUUCAACGAGCUUAUAACCUUGGCCGAGAGGCCUGGGCAAUCUUGUUAACGUGCAUCGUGAUAGGGAUAGAUUAUUGAAAUUAUUAAUCUUGAACGAGGAAUUCCUAGUAAACGCAGAUCAUCAAUCUGCAUUGAUUACGUCCCUGCCCUUUGUACACACCGCCCGUCGCACCUACCGAUUGGAUGGUCCGGUGAAGCCUCGGGAUUGUGGUUCUUGCCGCUUUAUUGUGGCGUGACCGCGAGAACUUGUCUAAACCUUAUCAUCUAGAGGAAGGUGAAGUCGUAACA